Vespula vulgaris is the source of this 5073-nucleotide long non-coding RNA. RefSeq lists it as uncharacterized. NCBI's taxonomy places the organism in Eukaryota, Metazoa, Arthropoda, Insecta, Hymenoptera, Vespidae. The record is from RefSeq and is a predicted model, not a curated record. The transcript is spliced from 3 exons.
CUUGUUUUUGAUAAUAUAAAGUUAUACUGUAAGUUUGGCAUUAUACAAUAUUUGUUAAGAUAAAAAUAGAAAGAAAAAUUCGAUUAAAAUUGAAUUACAUUAAACUACUACAUAGAGUGAUUAACUAAAACGUGACCGAAAGUACAGCUAGCUACUAGCUAGCUGAGCAAGCAGGAGGGAGAAAAGGGAGAAUACGAAGAAGGGUAGAGAAGAGAAGCGACUAAAUUUAGUCGGCCACACUGAAAAUAAGAUACGUUUUCCGGAACGUCGUCAUCCGAGACUCGAUCGUGAAACAAAUCAUGCUUUUCAUCGGAUGAUCUCGUCUCAACGUGUUUUAUACGAUAUUUAUUAAAGGAAAAAAGAAGAGCGAGAGAGAAAUAGAGAAAGAGAAUCGAUUCUUUACUUACCAGCGAUUUGUUCUGGAGGCAAUUCGUCGGCCUGUAAAAUAAAAAUAAAAACAUAUCGAACGAUCAGAAAUGAAAUUAAUUUGUGAUCAUCGUCGUCGUCUCGCCACGAAAUGCAACAAAAUAAUGCGAGGUGCAACAACGAUGUUUUAAUUAGGACGAUGAUUUCGAGUUUGCUUUGAUAUUUCAUUUUCUUUUUUUUUUCUUUCUUUUUUAUUUCUUUUUUUUCUGUUUCUUUUUUUUUGUAUUAUUAUAGCGCAAUAAAAUUAAGAUUUAUUAUGUUCAAUGACAAGAAUUUCUGUUAUGUUGAUUACGUGCAUUGUUACGAAUAUCGCGUAUAUUUCUUUUUAUUUCUUUUUUUAUUUUUUCGUAAAAUUCGUGUAAAAUUCUUAACAUCACUCGUAUACUGCGUGUAAAUUUAAAGUUUUGGCUGACUUCUUCUUUUACAAAUUAUGAUGAUGGAUAAAAUAACACUUUUGAACGAAUAUAUAUAUAUGUGUGUGUGUGUGUGUAUAUUCGCGAGAUAUUAUAGAGAGUGUAUUAUGUACACUUUGUUGCGUCGUGGGAUUAUUCGGACGAUUAAUCAAUGAAAUUGACGAAAAGAUCGUUUGAUUUUCGAUGUCGUUUCUCCGAUCGUUCGGUCCAUUCUUGUUUCUUUUUCUUCAUCCAUUUUUUCUUUUUUUUUAAUAAGACGAAUUUUAUAAAAAUCGAAAUUAUUUUUAAUUAGCACGAUCAAUUGGAGAAACGUCUUCGAAAAAAUUCGCCGUCUAAGAAACAAUCACGUUUCCAGGACCUCGCACCUCCUGAACAUGCUUUUUUCAUUUGUUAUCUUCGAAAAAAAUCCCGCGUUUUUUUUAUAUUUUUUAACGAAAUAUUUUUUUUAUUGCACCAACACUGUUUCGCGCGAAUAUUAUUUUUAUUUUUUACUUUGUUUCAUGAUUUCGUGCACUAGAGAGAAAGAGAGAGAAAGAGAGAGAGAGAGAGAGAGAGAGAGAGAGAGAGAACAAUGGAAAGAAAUAGAAAGUAAAAAAUAUUAAAAAAAAAACCAACACCGAGAUGAAACCAAUUAGAUAAGGAAACACGUACAGUACAGUAAAUUGUUUAAACAAAACAUGCCAAUAGAAAAGAAAAAAAAAUUAGACAAAAAAUAAGAAACGUAAUAAUUAGAUAUACAAAGUAUUUUUGCGUGUAUACGUAAGAAUGAAAAUAUAAAUAAAGAAUAAAGAGAGAGAGAGAGAGAGAGAGAGUAAGAGAGAAAUAAAGAACAAAGAGAAAGAGAGAGGGCGACGACUUACGAUAUCAUCGAUUGAACAUACCAUGAUGGCGACGCGGUUUUUUGCUCUUUUUUAUAUAUCUUAUAUAUAUAUAUAUAUAUAUCUAUAUAUAUAUACGUCUAUAUGUAUAUAUCAGGCUCGAUAUUAUACAAGAUCGACACAAUCUGUGAUAUUGAUCGAACGCUUGGAUUUACGGUCACUCGAUUAUAAUAUGGAACGUUUGAAGAAUUAUAAUGUGCGAUUAAAAAGUCGAUAUUAAUCGAUAUGAAUCGAAAAUUGAUGAGAUUUCUUUUUUUUUUUCUGUACGAACGAUGUUACGAAACAGAUAGAUAGAUAGAUAGAUUAACUCAGAUCGAGAGAUUAAUGGCAAUAAUAAUAGUAAUAGUAAUAAAAAAAAAAAACAAAAAUAAAACAACAAAAACUGUGUAAUCCCAAAAAGUCGAAGUCUGUUUUUUUUUGUUUUCAACUCGAGCCUGGCGGACGAGCUUAAAGCUUUACGAACACUGUCAAGAGAUGCGAGAACUGCCGCGGUAAUAUUCGAAUGAGCCGAUAUAGCGGUUGCGUACCGAUCCCGGACCGCGCCCCGCAACUUCCAGCCAAUCACAAGCUUCUCUCUUUAGUAGCGGGCCUUAGAGAUUUCGGAAGGGCGCUUGCGCUAUUUCGGGGACAUGAUACGACCACUUGGCAUUUUCCUCUUCGUUUCCAGGACUCUCUUCGGUUUCUCUUUUAUUCUUUUUAUUUUAUAUUCUUUUUCUUUUUCAUCGUUCGAAGAUAAUCUCUUUUUUCUUUUUUCUCCUCUUCUUUUCUUUUCGCUUCUUUCAUCUGCGUUUUCAUCGAUUCGAUUUGAUCGUUUUAUUUUGAGAGCCGAAUCGAAAUUCGUUUUUUAAAACGUAUCAACGAACGAAUGGUACGGAUAUGUGAAUGAACGAUUCGAUCUUUCUUUUUCUUUUUUCUUUUUUAUUUUUUAUACACUUGUGAGACGCGUGACCGUGGAUCACUCUGAAAAGUGUUCGUUCUAUCGCAAAUCAUUCGAAUAUUCCGUCGUUACGAAAAUAGAGAAUCAGAAUUCCCUAGUCCACCGUGUAAGCAACAGUAAAAUUUUGAAAAUGUAUAUGGUGCACGAUGCAUUGGGUUCGAAUCGAUAUCGGAUUUUGCAAUUUGGAGGGGAGAUAAAAAACUUUGCCAUGAUAGGAUCUUCGUGGCAAUGUUUUUUAUAGUUUUUAAUGUUUUACGACUUUAUGUUCUAAUUUUAAGAUGUAGAUAAUAUUAUCUUAUGGCAUUGGAUUAAUUCAAGUAGAAGUGUUUAUAAAAAUAGAAUUGUUGUUUUUCGACAUUGCUCAAGUACAUAUUUUGCCUGAUCGAAGAACAAAGCAGGGGCUGUGUUGUUUUCAAACAUAGGAAAGAUUUUCCUUUGCGUUCUUUGCCAGGAAGCUUUCCGAACAUCUUUACAAUGCCAAUGCGGUAGUGAUGUGAAGAAAUUCGUUAGGAUGUUUACCAGACUUUUAAUAGAAUAUUUAAUAGGAUUUUAACUAUCACCGUUGUUAAUACACAUUUAAAUGGUCAAUCGUCACAUUAUUUAUAUCGUUAGUUCGAACGAUUUCGAAUAUUUCUGUUUUAAUUUGAUAUAAUCUCAAUAUUUUCGUCUUGUUUCUCGUUGGAAGUUAACUACUUCUUAAGUUGCUAAAAUGCAAGUAAAUCAGAAAUGUUUACGAAUGCCUCGUUGAUUCUCAACGGUCCAGUGAUUUAUGAAUGUGAUAAACAAUAAAGCAAACAAGUAGCACAACGUAAAUUGUACAUCUAACGAAGUUGGAUCAAUGCGUUUGGAAAACUUCCAAGGUGCAUACUCUUAACGACAUCUUGAGAUGUACGCGAAUCUCAAGAUAUGAUUCAUCGGUAUGGUGAAAACAUUCGAAAUGAAAUGAAAUCGACUACAAUGAGACUAAAAAAUAUUGAACGAUCCUUGUGAUACGUCAAGUCUUGCUUUGAAACUGAUACCUGGCCAAGUGUUUCAAGUUACCAUUUAUCAUUCAACCAUUUUAUAAUAAUCUAUAACCUUUGGAAAGUUUGUGCUAAUAGAUUUUCCCAAAACUGCGCGAGAUGAUUUGACACGACGAUAUAGUCGAGCCAAGUAACAUUGAUUUAUUCCUGUCAGAUUCGAAAGCAAUGGGACUUUACUGGACGGAAAGACAAAAACCUUCUUGAUUUAUAAUCAUUAAUUUGCACUAAUGAAUUAGUCACAUCUUAGACACUAAUUUAAAUUAACAACGUUAUAUUCAUAGAUCUAGACAUAGUCGAGGUCAGUUAUUAAAACAAAUAAAUAUGUUAUUGUAAACAAGUUUCUACAUUGAUUUGUCGGAAGGAGUAGAGUACCGUGCGCGUUAAAUAUUUUUAGUAUUUUUAUCACAAACGGAUAAACAUUGCUCUUACGAUUUUCACGAAAGCAUACGAGUCCAGACUUUAUUUCGUCGGUGGAUAACUUUUUGGCUACUUGCCCAUUUUAAACGCGAGACGUAUAAAACUUCAGACAGGUCUACGUACGUCGAUCCAUAUGUACAUAUAACCGGGUACGAUCUUCUCGUUUUUCUGCGACUCAUAAACUACGUUACUUCGCGCUACAAGGCACUUUGCUUCGUCAUCUUGAAUUAUUUCACGACUAUGAACCAUCUCGGAGGAAUACUCGAAUUUGGCACAUGCGCAGAAACGUUGAGAGUGUAGCGCGUGUGCCGACGUGUCAAACGAAACGUCACUUAGGUUGAACAUGUAGACGGUGCUCUCUACCGGAGUUUAUUGAAACCUAUUGGUCACGUGAUGAAUUAAUGGAGGCAAGUUUCAAUUUCUGUUCUUAGAACACUAAACGAAAACUACACAAUUUUAUUUUAUAUAUUCUUAAAUAUUUAUGGAUUACUGAUUUUAUUAUACUUACUAAACCUUAUUAACUUAUUUAAUUACCAAUUUUAUGUGUAAUUAUUUUUAGGUAAUGUAAAAAUUCUAAAACUUGAAAACAUUGUUUGCUUUAUUGUAUAUUCCUUUCGUCCUCGUAGUAGGUACAUGACAGCAUCUAAAAUGCUCAUUCACAAUCCACUGAAUUUAACGUUCACUUUCACACAGAGACGCUCAUAUCCUUGUAUUUUUUCUAUUUCUGUGUUAUUUUUUUUUUAUCCUACUCGUACAUUCGCUCUUCUUCUCUCAUUCAUAGAUAAAUAAAUUAUAGGCUAAUAUUUACAAUAUCUUAAUAGUUUCUUUCUCUUACUUAAUAGUCCUUUGUCACUUAAUAGAGAUGUAUUUUGUAAAGAAUCUAGAAAUAUUGAGCUUGGUCUGGUUGAUAUACUUAAUAUAUUUGUCAUUUUGCUUUUGAAUCACGUAUAAUGUGUAUAUAUUAUGGAUACACAUAAACG